RNAcentral lists this long non-coding RNA (234 nucleotides) under Brassica napus (rape). Its description in RNAcentral is "long non-coding RNA (BNAP_LNC010762)". The record is from RNAcentral. Lineage: Eukaryota; Viridiplantae; Streptophyta; Magnoliopsida; Brassicales; Brassicaceae.
AGCCGCGAGAAGACAAUGGGAGAAAACCCUAAACACUUGUGGGUUGAGACAGCGUGAAGGAGACUGGGCUCCACUCUCGGCUUCAUGCACAAAUACUAUAAAGCCCAGUUCACACUUCCGCAUCAGACAACGUAAGAAACAAAACCAAAAAAAAAAACACAGAACAACCCAGGUGUUGACAUGUGUCGAGAUUUGUGCUCUCUUACCUGAUAACGUGGCUUAAUGAGGAGAGAG